UUCAUCUUGUCAGGAUUUUAAAUCACCUAAUCAUAGCCAGUUAGUUAGUCACCUAAUCAAGUCAACAAAUUUAACCUUCAUUUCAGCUAAUAUCCUUCAUCCGGUAGUUGGAUCUCCAAUGCCUUUCAUCUAUUACAUUUGGUCCUCGUCAUAGGUAUGAAAGUUACAUGUAUGCCGUAUAUGUAUUGCAUAUCUCAUUAAUAGUCUUAUACCAAGAAGCUACUAUGAAUUAACUAUUUAAGACGAUCCACAGCCUGGGUAACAGAGUUCACCGCCCAGGAAUGGCGAGGGAAACCUUUCAUGGAGACUACAUAACAACCUCUUAACAUCUCAACUUAAUCUCUAUACAUAUUCUGAAACAGAGAACGGAAAUUCCGCUUCUUGAGAGUAACAAACGCAACGUGGCAUCGUGUCUUAUUUCCCGGUUUGCAUGCGAGCAAAAAGCAAUCGACUCGGAAUGAAAGUUUCACACACGGUCCAUGUGUCUACCUCUUAACGACCAACCACUCCGCUCCGUAGGCACGUACGCUCGAGACCUAUUACGCUCGAGCGUCAAGCCCCUCGAAGGUCACGUAUCCGCGGAGUUUAAUGAUUUACAAGCAACGGACGACGGGAUUACGUAAAAAGGAAAAAAAAAAAAACAAAGAAAGAAGAAAAAUUCGCCGCGAUGUGACAAACGGAUUACAACGUGGCGGAGAGGUACGUGGACGGAAUAAUCGCAUGGGCGGAAGUCAUCUUCUUACCCGUCGGUGUCGCAGCCGUCGAGGAACGGUUUCAGACAUGGCUCGUUCUGAUCGUGUUCCAGACCGUACAACUCGGAAAGAGAGAGCCUGCCGUCGUUGUCACUGUCCAAGUGUCCGAACAUCCACCUGACCUCGCUCUGGCAACCGAUGGGGAAGUGACCUGGAAAUGGUGCGGGAAUGAAAUAUGAAUUCCGAUGGCCGCGCGUCUCUGCGGACAGACGCCACCAAUGAAAUAUAAAUAUCGAUGCAUCUACAGUGAUAAGAUCAAAUGGAGAUGUUACAAACUGGAAACAGUAUCGACGGAGAUAGAGCCGAGUAAUCGGUAGAUCUGAAGUGGAAGCGAUUCCUUUGAACGGGACAAUUCCGUGCUGGUACGAAAGCGAUUGUACCGAAGUCGAAUAGCGUGCAGUGAUGUGAGGCAGUUCCCGCAGUUCCAAACUACGCCGGAUCGUGAACGUUGUAAUGUCCAGAGGCCACCCUUUUCGUGCGGAGCAAUUAGUCUCUUGUAUAUUCAACUCGAUCGUCGAGUUUCUAUAACGAGAGACUUGGUCAUUCUCGACGGGUCUAUUGCCAACUAUAUUUUUCCAAAUGAUGUUAAUCGUAUCGCUAGUCAACGAGAUAAGACAAUCCUAUCAGUUUCUCGAACAGCGAAAAGAUUUUGUAAAAAUUUGCUGUCUUCUUAGGACCGUUCAUCAAUUUCCUGUAUCGUGGAAUUUAAGUAGCUUAUAUUUAUAAUUAGAGCACUUUUAGCGAUAAAAAUGUGAAACAAGGAAUUUAGAGAAAGGAUGGUGUACAGUGAUAAAAUCUAAAAUUAAUUAUCAAAUAUUUUUUAAAUCUUCGAAAUUUUAAUUCAAGAAAAUUCCAUUUAUCGGACAUUUGUCCAUAAAUAUCAAAGCACAUCGUUACAGAUAUUACAACAAAAUUUGAAUCAAUUUUUCUCAUUACGUUUUUCAAAUAUGUCAAGUUCUUUUUGAUCGCGAGAAGUGUAGUAUGGGUUCAGAAGUUGGGACACGCAUGUCAUGUCCAUACUCGUGACUGAAAUUAUUAUUAAAUGAAAACGUUGUACUCGUUGACGAAUUAUAUAUAUUUUCGAUAAAAAAAAACUUUGUUCCAUAACACGGACACAGUUAGCGUUUAUUGACAGAAAAAUCAACAGUAAUAGACCAUGACACUAUAUCUAUAAUAUCGAGACAGAUGAUAAUUGCAUCACGAAUUAUUUUUUAUAAAUUUAAUCAAUUUUAUUAAUUUUACAAAAUAGCGAAAUUAUCGUAGUGCCUGUUCUAGUUACAUCGAUGACUUUGGCUUGUUACAAGAGUCUCGCUAUCGGUUCUAGGGUCAUCGCGACUGAAUUACUCGGUUUGAUGAUCGUUCUA
Long non-coding RNA from Bombus pascuorum, 2116 nucleotides. RefSeq lists it as uncharacterized. NCBI's taxonomy places the organism in Eukaryota, Metazoa, Arthropoda, Insecta, Hymenoptera, Apidae. The record is from RefSeq and is a predicted model, not a curated record. The transcript has 3 exons.